CCUACGGGUGGCAGCAGUGGGGAAUAUUGGACAAUGGGGGGAACCCUGAUCCAGCCAUGCCGCGUGUGUGAAGAAGGCCCUCGGGUUGUAAAGCACUUUCAGUGAGGAAGAACGCCUGGUGGUUAAUACCCAUCAGGAAAGACAUCACUCACAGAAGAAGCACCGGCUAACUCCGUGCCAGCAGCCGCGGUAAUACGGAGGGUGCGAGCGUUAAUCGGAAUUACUGGGCGUAAAGCGCGCGUAGGUGGCUUGAUAAGCCGGUUGUGAAAGCCCCGGGCUCAACCUGGGAACGGCAUCCGGAACUGUCAAGCUAGAGUGCAGGAGAGGAAAGUAGAAUUCCCGGUGUAGCGGUGAAAUGCGUAGAGAUCGGGAGGAAUACCAGUGGCGAAGGCGGCCUUCUGGACUGACACUGACACUGAGGUGCGAAAGCGUGGGUAGCAAACAGGAUUAGAUACCCUUGUAGUC
Molecule: ribosomal RNA, 465 nt
Filed under: Vreelandella stevensii
Lineage: Bacteria; Pseudomonadati; Pseudomonadota; Gammaproteobacteria; Oceanospirillales; Halomonadaceae
Description: partial 16S ribosomal RNA
Rfam family: Bacterial small subunit ribosomal RNA
Source: RNAcentral